Molecule: ribosomal RNA, 399 nt
Filed under: uncultured bacterium
Lineage: Bacteria
Description: bacterial SSU rRNA
Rfam family: Archaeal small subunit ribosomal RNA
Source: RNAcentral
GCGCGAAAACUUUACAAUGCUGGGAACAGCGAUAAGGGAACCUCGAGUGCCAGGUUACAAAUCUGGCUGUCGUGAUGCCUAAAAAGCAUUAUAUAGCAAGGGCCGGGCAAGACCGGUGCCAGCCGCCGCGGUAACACCGGCGGCUCGAGUGGUAACCGUUAUUAUUGGGUCUAAAGGGUCUGUAGCCGGCCGGAUAAGUCUCUUGGGAAAUCUGGCAGCUUAACUGUCAGGCUUUCAGGGGAUACUGUCUGGCUCGAGGCCGGGAGAGGUGAGAGGUACUUCAGGGGUAGGGUGAAAUCUUGUAAUCCUUGAAGGACCACCAGUGGCGAAGGCGUCUCACCAGAACGGACCUGACGGCAAGGGACGAAAGCUAGGGGCACGAACCGGAUUAGAAACCCU